RNAcentral lists this ribosomal RNA (508 nucleotides) under uncultured bacterium. Its description in RNAcentral is "partial 16S ribosomal RNA". It matches the Rfam family "Bacterial small subunit ribosomal RNA", at positions 28 to 507 of the family's 1533-position model. The record is from RNAcentral.
GACGAACGCUGGCGGCGUGCCUAAUACAUGCAAGUCGAACGCUUCUUUCCUCCCGAGUGCUUGCACUCAAUUGGAAAGAGGAGUGGCGGACGGGUGAGUAACACGUGGGUAACCUACCCAUCAGAGGGGGAUAACACGUGGAAACAGGUGCUAAUACCGCAUAACAGUUUAUGCCGCAUGGCAUAAGAGUGAAAGGCGCUUUCGGGUGUCGCUGAUGGAUGGACCCGCGGUGCAUUAGCUAGUUGGGGAGGUAACGGCUCACCAAGGCCACGAUGCAUAGCCGACCUGAUAGGGUGAUCGGCCACACUGGGACUGAGACACGGCCCAGACGCCUACGGGAGGCAGCAGUAGGGAAUCUUCGGCAAUGGACGAAAGUCUGACCGAGCAACGCCGCGUGAGUGAAGAAGGUUUUCGGAUCGUAAAACUCUGUUGUUAGAGAAGAACAAGGACGUUAGUAACUGAACGUCCCCUGACGGUAUCUAACCAGAAAGCCACGGCUAACUACGUG